Molecule: ribosomal RNA, 2130 nt
Filed under: Triticum aestivum (bread wheat)
Lineage: Eukaryota; Viridiplantae; Streptophyta; Magnoliopsida; Poales; Poaceae
Description: partial small subunit ribosomal RNA
Source: RNAcentral
AUGGCGAGCCGGGUGAAGGAGGACGAGAAGAACGAGCGGGUCAUAAGGGGGCUGCUCAAGCUGCCCGCCAACAAGAGGUGCAUCAACUGCAACAAUUUGGGACCACAAUAUGUCUGCACAAAUUUCUGGACCUUCGUUUGUACCAAUUGCAGUGGAGCACACCGAGAGUUCACUCACCGGGUGAAAUCUGUUUCCAUGGCUAAAUUUACCGCACAAGAAGUCACUGCUCUACAAGGAGGAGGAAAUGAGCGUGCUAGAGAAAUAUUUUUCAAGGAGUGGGAUUCUCAGCGUAAUCCAUACCCUGACAGCAGUAAUACGGACAAAUUGAGGAAUUUCAUCAAGCAUAUUUACGUGGAGCGGAGAUAUACAGGAGAAAGAAGCUCUGAUAGACCACCGAGGGGAAAGGACGAUAAGGAUGAACAUAGCGAAAAUAGAAGAUCUGAUGGAAAUCGGGGUGGUUCAAGAAGUCCACCAUACAAUGAAAGUUACUCUGACCGUCGGAGUUAUAGUGGACGGAGUGAUGACAGAAAUUCCAGACAUUCCUAUGGAGAACGUAGUCCUGGCUAUGACCAGAAUGACUAUAAGAAAAGCCCCCGCCACUUUGAAGCUGUCGACGAUAGAUCUGGGAAAACGACUCCAGUUCAAAGGUUCGAGGACCGCAGGUUUUCUGAACCACGAAAGCCAGAGACUGGGUCUCCAAAUUACCAGAGAGAAGCCAACGGAUCUAGUCCUCCUGUUGUACGGCCAGUGAGGGAGAUAUUGGGUGAUGAUGCUCCUCAACUUCGGAUUGGUGAACCUCCAAAGCCGAAUGUAGCCAGACCGAUUGAUCCUCCAAAACCAAAUGGAACCAGGACCAUUGAGCCUCCACCUCAGGCACAGAGGACAUCUACUGCCAGCAGUAUUGGUUCUUCCGAGGGGAUUUCGGAACAGACGAAGGCAGCAACUCCAGUCAGUUUAAUUGAUUUUGGUGCAGAUCCUGAACCCACUGCAUCUGCCCCGCCAUCACAGACAGCCCCUACACCCCAACAGCAGCCAGUUAGUGCACAGCCUAUUAACGCAACAACGCCGCAACAUGUUCUUGAACAAGGCAAAAGUGCUCCAUCAGCAAGCGGCGGUGAUUGGGCAUCUUUUGAUGCUUUUGGCCAGCAGCAACAAACACCACAAGUAGGCAGCACCGUAAAUCCACUUGAGUCUGUGCUUGCACAACUAUCAUUCUCCGAAACACCCUCUGCCUCCAAUACGUCAGCCUUUUCAACUUCUGUUGAUCCGCAAGCAAAUGGAGGACAGCUGUCCAUGAUAGAUACAUCACAUUCUUCAUUAUUUGGUCCACCCGUUGGAAUCUCAGGCAAUCAGGUCUCAACAGGAAUGCCUGUCCAAGGAUCUGCAGUUCAUCAAUCUGCUGUGGCUGCCUCUAUGGGUGGUCUUCCAUCUCAAUUGCCUUCAAAUUCUCAAGGAACCAGUGGUAUUCAAGAAGCAACGUCUUCUCAUGACAGCAAAUCCAGUGGGCGGACAGUACUGCCAGUGGAUUUCUUUACUUCACUAUAUCCAUCAGCAACUCCAGCAAUGCCUGGCUGGCAGAGAGCUCCCCAGUCUGGAAUGGGAUUUGGCAUGCAGUAUCCUGCUGCAAUGUUGCAGGGAAUGCAGUCAUAUCCUCAGGCAGCAUUUUCUCAACCUACAUAUCAACAACCUAUGUAUCAGCAACCUACAUACCAACAACCUACGUAUCAACAGCCUGUAUAUCAGCAAAAUGCGUAUCCCCAACCUGCGAAAGCUUCAAACCCUUUUGACCUCGGAAAUGAGGCAGCCCCAAUUCAAGCUCACAUGUCCCGACCACUGGGAGCAUCAUCAGGCGCUACUAACCCAACAUUAGUUGGUAACUCUAGUUUUGGAGUUCCACCUCAGCAGCCUCAGCAGAUGUAUCAGCCAUCUGUACAUCAAAACCAUUACAUGAUGCAGCAUGUUUCAAACAACAUGCCUGAGCAGCUACCUAAUGGCAUGCUUCCAAGGCAACAAGGAGGUGCUGGUUCCCUCGGCGUAGGCUAUGAUCAACAAGCUGCUCCUAGGUAUUCCCAGCCAAACACCCCACCGUCCUAUGGUGCUGUGGGUGGAAAUCCUUUCGGCUCCAUGUAA